UCUCUACUGAUGGUACCAGACUUCAGUUUCAUAGUCUCUCUGCUCUAGAAUCUGUUUCCCUUUGCAGAAAGACCUGAAUCAUAAGACUUUAUGCUUUGACAUUUUGCAGUUUCCUAGGCUCAUAAAGCUAAAUUUCCUGGGGUAAAUUAAUUUAGAAACUUUCCAACUAAGUUUAUUAAACAUUCUUCUGCCAUGCUUUUGCUGGCGAUUAUGGAGACCAUGCUUUUUGAGGCACUACUGAUAAGUCUGA
This 250-nucleotide long non-coding RNA is filed under the name Bos taurus (domestic cattle). Its description in RNAcentral is "long non-coding RNA NONBTAT025676". The record is from RNAcentral. Lineage: Eukaryota; Metazoa; Chordata; Mammalia; Artiodactyla; Bovidae.